RNAcentral lists this transfer RNA (73 nucleotides) under Leptonema sp. (in: bacteria). RNAcentral describes it as "tRNA-Thr". It matches the Rfam family "tRNA". Rfam says of the family: Transfer RNA (tRNA) molecules are approximately 80 nucleotides in length. Their secondary structure includes four short double-helical elements and three loops (D, anti-codon, and T loops). Lineage: Bacteria; Pseudomonadati; Spirochaetota; Leptospiria; Leptospirales; Leptospiraceae. The record is from RNAcentral.
GCUCCCAUAGCUCAGUUGGUAGAGCACUUCACUCGUAAUGAAGGGGUCAGCAGUUCAAGUCUGCUUGGGAGCU